GCUGGAAUAGCGCAGUCAGUAGAGCAUGAGACUCCUAAUCUCAGGGUUGUGAGUUCAAGCCCCAUGUGGGGUA
This is a non-coding RNA of Podarcis lilfordi (Lilford's wall lizard), 73 nucleotides long. Lineage: Eukaryota; Metazoa; Chordata; Lepidosauria; Squamata; Lacertidae. The record is from the annotation of a GenBank genome assembly.